GACGAACGCUGGCUGCGUGCUUAACACAUGCAAGCCGAACGGAAAGGCCCUGCUUUUGUGGGGUGCUCGAGUGGCGAACGGGUGAGUAACACGUGAGUAACCUGCCCUUGACUUUGGGAUAACUUCUGGAAACUGGGGCCAAUACCGGAUAGUAGCUCCUGCUGCAUGGUGGGGGCUGGAAAGUUUCGGCGGUUGGGGAUGGACUCGCGGCUUAUCAGCUUGUUGGUGGGGUAGUGGCUUACCAAGGCUUUGACGGGUAGCCGGCCUGAGAGGGUGACCGGCCACAUUGGGACUGAGAUACGGCCCAGACUCCUACGGGAGGCAGCAGUGGGGAAUAUUGCACAAUGGGCGGAAGCCUGAUGCAGCAACGCCGCGUGCGGGAUGACGGCCUUCGGGUUGUAAACCGCUUUCGCCUGUGACGAAGCGUGAGUGACGGUAAUGGGUAAAGAAGCACCGGCUAACUACGUG
RNAcentral lists this ribosomal RNA (468 nucleotides) under uncultured bacterium. RNAcentral's name for it is "partial 16S ribosomal RNA". It matches the Rfam family "Bacterial small subunit ribosomal RNA", at positions 28 to 507 of the family's 1533-position model. The record is from RNAcentral.